GUUUAUUCUUUCAAUGGGCAAGAUUAUGAAAGAUGAUUUUCUUUUUUUUGUUAUUGUUUGAAGGCAGGUAGAAUUGAUUCUACCAAACUACCGACAGAUGCUAAACAAGCGUAUUGUCUAAGGUGCUAUCUCAGAGGAAAACAUUGCCUCUUAUUGUGGAGUGCGGUCAUUACUUCUCAUGCAGCUGUUUGUCAAGUUGUUUGGCAGCCUUUUGAUGCUGCUGUGGCCUCAAAAGGGUUAACAGCAAGUCAGCGGUGCUGCUGUAAUCCUCCAGGACUACCAGCAUGCUGCACUGUUGUUGUGUCAGACCGGGGGGGUUCUGGAGGAAGCUGCGCUAGCUGUGGCAGCUGCCUCAGUCACGUCUGUCAUUUUGGGUUUCUGUUUUCAACAACAUGGCUGACGUAGCAGGUAAAGCAAAAGACCACCGUAGCCUGUACAGAACCAUGUUCUUCCACUCCCUCUCACAUCCAGAAAACGCCCUACCUCCUCAGAAAACGAACGCCGUGCGUCAGGAACACGUCCUCGUUGGGGGGAAAGCAAAAACGUGUGUUUGACAAACAACCCUUGUCCUGUCUGCAGUGGUGGAAACAAUGCAGGUAUUGGGGAACCUUCUACUAGAGCAAGGAAGGCAGUGAAGCUUGAACUAAAGAUCUGAAGCACUUUGCUGUGUCAUCUAUCUUCAUUGUCCCUUCUGGGAGCCACAGAAAUGGUACACACCCCAUCUGGGAACCAAAAACACCUAGCAAGUGCAGCCUGAAUGAGGGCUUGAAAUGCUCUGCCAUUUCAUUUAUCUUCUCCGUCCCUCCUGGCAACCAGAGAAACAGUGGCUGAAGGCACACCCCACCCAGAAACCAGAGACAGCAAGUGCUGUACCCUGAGCAGAAGCCUGAAAGCAAGCCAUUCCAUUCAUCCCCUGCUUCCUGUCUGCAGCACUGUACCUGGCACAGGAGUCACUUAGAAUAUGCAAACUAGGAGGAUGGAACUUCCAGAAAUUCUCACAGAGAAAAUAUAAGGUGACAGAAGCAUACAUCCGAACACCCAAACUGACCUUCUGUGGAUGAGAUAUUCCCCUAACUUUCAUUGAUAUCCCCACUGGUUUUUAAACUCACCCAUGUAAGUUGGAUUAUUUGACCCGAGAUACUCUUUCAGAGUUGAUUGUGUCAGUUAUUAGAGGUUGCCAGUCCUUGGGUCUGGAGUGGUGGGGAGUUGUGAGAAGCCAUUUGGUGACUGUCAACAUCACUAUGUUAUUCCUGUCUAUCCCUAUGUAUUGGAUUGGUUCCAAUUGGACCUUAACCAAAAUUAAACGAAAUAUGUGCUUAGGCUCUUUGGUGUUUCUAAAAUCCACUUUUUUUU
Molecule: long non-coding RNA, 1353 nt
Filed under: Gallus gallus (chicken)
Lineage: Eukaryota; Metazoa; Chordata; Aves; Galliformes; Phasianidae
Description: lncRNA (ENSGALG00010012440.1)
Source: RNAcentral